RNAcentral lists this ribosomal RNA (468 nucleotides) under uncultured bacterium. Its description in RNAcentral is "partial 16S ribosomal RNA". It matches the Rfam family "Bacterial small subunit ribosomal RNA", at positions 28 to 507 of the family's 1533-position model. The record is from RNAcentral.
GACGAACGCUGGCGGCGUGCUUAACACAUGCAAGUCGAACGGAAAGGCCCUGCUUUUGUGGGGUGCUCGAGUGGCGAACGGGUGAGUAACACGUGAGUAACCUGCCCUUGACUUUGGGAUAACUUCAGGAAACUGGGGCUAAUACCGGAUAGGAGCUCCUGAUGCAUGGUGGGGGUUGGAAAGUUUCGGCGGUUGGGGAUGGACUCGCGGCUUAUCAGCUUGUUGGUGGGGUAGUGGCUUACCAAGGCUUUGACGGGUAGCCGGCCUGAGAGGGUGACCGGCCACAAUGGGACUGAGAUACGGCCCAGACUCCUACGGGAGGCAGCAGUGGGGAAUAUUGCACAAUGGGCGGAAGCCUGAUGCAGCAACGCCGCGUGCGGGAUGACGGCCUUCGGGGUGUAAACCGCUUUCGCCUGUGACGAAGCGUGAGUGACGGUAAUGGGUAAAGAAGCACCGGCUAACUACGUG